AUAAUAUACACAUAAUGUCUAUACUGUGACCUACUUCCUAAUUAUGUAUCAUCUUCAGAUUUAAAAUGAAACCAUUACUUAUAAUCAUGGAGAUAUCAUUUGAUUUGAUUGAUUGAUGUUUAAUGCCACUUUCAGCACUAUUGAUCCCAGUACUUAUAGACAUGGAGAUAUGAUUUGAUUUGGUUGAUUGGUGUUUAACGCCACUUUCAGCACUAUUAGUACUAGUACUUAUAGACAUGGAGAUAUGAUUUGAUUGAUUGGUGUUUAACGCCACUUUCAGCCGUAUAGGUACUGGUACUUAUAGACAUCGAGAUGUGAUUUGAUUUGAUUGAUGUUUAACGCCACUUUCAGCCCUAUUGGUAUUAGUACUUAUAGACAUGGAGAUGUGAUUUGAAUGAUUGGUGUUUAACGCCACUUUCAGCCCUAUUGGUACUAGUACUUAUAGACAUGGAGAUGUGAUUUGAAUGAUUGAUGUUUAACGCCACUUUCAGCCCUAUUGGUAUUAGUACUUAUAGACAUGGAGAUAUGAUUUGAUUGAUUGAUGUUUAACGCCACUUUCAGCCCUAUUGGUACAAGUACUUAUAGACAUGGAGAUGUGAUUUGAUUGAUUGAUGUUUAACGCCACUUUCAGCCCUAUUGGUACUGGUACUUAUAGACAUUGAGAUGUGAUUUGAUUUGAUUGAUUGAUGUUUAACGCCACUUUCAGCCCUACUGGUACUAGUACUUAUAGACAUGGAGAUGUGAUUUGAUUGAUUGGUGUUUAACGCCACUUUUAGCACUAUUGAUCCCAGUACUUAUAGACAUGGAGAUGUGAUUUGAUUUGAUUGAUUGAUGUUUAACGCCACUUUCAGCCCUAUUGGUAUUAGUACUUAUAGACAUGGAGAUAUGAUUAUAUUGAUUGAUGUUUAACGCCACUUUCAGCCCUAUUGGUACUAGUACUUAUAGACAUGGAGAUGUGAUUUGAUUUGAUUGAUUGGUGUCUAACGCCACUUUCAGCACUAUUGAUAAUAGUAUUUAAAGUCAUGGAGAUAUGAACGCAGAUGUAAAACUCAAAAAAGGCAGUGUAAACUGUUUACUUUUAUGUACAAGAUAUUACGAUAUAAUAAGAUAUUUUUAUUCCAUUUAAAUAGCCCAUGAGAUUAAAGUAGUUUAAUACGAUGAUUUUUCAUAAUUGACAAAAAUAUUGUUGUCAAUCAUAUAUAAAUAUGAAUAUAAUCAACUAAAUGUUAAGCCAGUCCAAAGCCAUAAGCAUGUGUGUAAACAUGCAGUUAUAAAACAGAUAAUAUAUAAUAUUAACAGGCAAAUAUUCUUAAUGGGUUACAUAUAAACAUAUCUGUACAAUAUUGAUAGUUUUCUGAUUUCAAGACAUUCAUUAAUAUAUAUAUAUUCCAAUAAUUGUUAAUACCUCUAGGUUUUCUUGAAUAAAAAGACAAUUUGAAAUUGGCAUUUGAGUUUAACAUUUUGACAAUUUACAAAUGCUAUUAUAGAACUAUUUUUUCAAGAGAUUAUAACGAGGACAUUCACAUUUACAAUGUUUUUCAUCUUCAACUUUAUCCAACAUAACCUUUGUGAUUUAUCUAUAUAAUUGUUUUUUUUGCAUAUCCAUCCGUCUCUGUUUUUAGAGGGUGUGCACCUAUCUUUCAUACUGCUGGUCUAUCUUUAAAUGCUUUCAAUUCCAAAUAAUUUGCUGUAUUUUUUUAAUCAUGUUAAUUGAAAAACAAGCCAAGAGCUAGUUACCUUAUAUGAUUUAACAGUAUUUUCACUAAAAUCUUUCCAAUUGUUCAGAAAAACAAGAUUUGUAUAUAUGUAUAAAAAGAGAUUUGUUAAUAUCAUGAAUAUAGACAGCAACCUAACAAUACAAUAGAGGAAAAAAAAAAAAAAAACAAAAACAAAA
Mytilus californianus (California mussel) is the source of this 1894-nucleotide long non-coding RNA. RefSeq lists it as uncharacterized. NCBI's taxonomy places the organism in Eukaryota, Metazoa, Mollusca, Bivalvia, Mytilida, Mytilidae. The record is from RefSeq and is a predicted model, not a curated record. The transcript has 2 exons.